Long non-coding RNA from Crocodylus porosus (Australian saltwater crocodile), 2040 nucleotides. Ensembl lists it as uncharacterized. The record is from Ensembl. NCBI's taxonomy places the organism in Eukaryota, Metazoa, Chordata, Crocodylia, Crocodylidae.
CAAGGAAGGAGCUUCGCAGAGCUGGCAAGAGCUGAGCCAGCGGGGCAGGGGCAGUGCCCUGAAAGAGCAGGACCUGCAGGCAGCAGUGGGGCCCUCAGCAGCGCCGUGUGCGGCCGGCAGGAGGGGCUCCCCACUGGGCUCCAGGAUGCCCUACGAGAGGCUGCAGCCAGCAGGAGAGGCUCCCCCAGCUCCAGGAAGGAUCUGAACAGUGACCUGAGGGGUUCCCAGCUCUGCUUCCAGCUCCUCCAAUCAGAAGCUGGGCAGGUUUUCACACCUCUGGCUCUCAGGCUAUAAGCCUCUAUCAGAUGAUCUAAGAGUCUCCAUUAGUAGUAUAGUGAGACCAAAGUUAACCAGAGGAGCAGCCAUUCAUUUAAACACACACGGGCAGCCUACUUCAAGUGCAAUCCUCCUCUGCUCUUGUACGCAUUUCCGCAUGUUAAGUAUCGUCUGGACCCACCAUUCAGCAAUGACAUAAGCUUAUCUGGAUGUACAAGUUUCCUGAAAAAUUCCAUGUGCCAGUGUAAAUAUAACAACAGAGCAAGAAUGGCUUAUGAAAUGUCAUCUCUUUGUACCUUCCAGGCUAUAUUAUGUGCGGCUUUUAUUUUUAAGGGUACUAGUGGUGGGGAGAGCCCUACUAGAAGAACUGUAGGUGACUGUGUCAUCCUUGAUCUGAACAUCCACAAGCCAGAAACAAAUGAAGUCAUCUGGAAGAAAGGCAGUAAUCAGAUGGCCAAGAUCCAGAAUUCUAUUGUAAAGCUCUAUGGAAUCAAUGUUACCCGAUUUAAUGCAUUCCCCAAUGGCAGCCUAAGCUUUUGCCCCAUACAGUGGGGGGAUGAGGGUAACUACACAGCUGAAAUGUUCAGUCAUGAUGGGUUGCUUUUAGAUACCCAAGCUAUUUUCCUGGAGCUUGUUGAAUAUAUAUCUGCACCUGUUCAAGAAAUCAGUGGAUUUGCUGGUGGUUCUGUGUUCUUACCUUCUCCUGAGGUAAAUCUGGAAGGACAUUUCCAUGUGACAUGGAAGAAAGACAAUGUAUCCAUUGCUAGGAUGAAUUUUCCUUAUUUCGAGUACUACGGGGAAUAUGCCAACAGAUCUGAGAUCUUUUCUAAUGGCACUCUCAGAUUGGACAGGAUUGAGGACAGCGAUAGUGGUUGGUAUUAUGUAGAAGCACAUGAUGGCACUGGAAUGAUAAUGUACAACAUGAUCUCUCUUGAAGUGGAAGUGGGAGCAACAGAAGCACCCCAAAGAAUCAAUUUCUUUGUUAUGUUAUAUAUCUGGAUGGGAUGCGUUGUUGCUGUAUGUACGAUUGUGUCUGUCACACUUGCGUGGCAUUGUGGAAAGUGCAAACGCAGCAAAGGUCGCUUUAAACCCCCUAGCUUCAAGAGGGUGAAUUUGAGCCUCAGGAGGCGCAGUGAUGGCUCUAAGAAAUCUGAGGAGGGAGGCAUGAGCAUCUGCUACCAAAAUCAGGAUGAAGACUGCCAUUCAGGAAAAGCAAGCACUGCAGACUCCACCAAGCAAGGGGACAAAGCAUUCAAUCAUGAUGUUGAUGCUAAAGCAGCAGUAGCUGCAGAUGGUUUCAACAAGCUGCCUGUAUCUUUAAAUAUCUCCAGUUUUCAAGGGACUGAAGUACCUAAACCACAGCCCACGUCUGCAGAUGGUUGGAACUCUGUUGCCUUUAUUCCUGAAAGCUGUGUUCCUUUGCAAGCUGGGCAUUGUAUGCCUCUGGAUUUUGAGGACUGUGAUCCUCCUGAUUUCUCUUCUGAGGAAUAUGAUGACGGUUGGUUUCCACCUUCCUCUCCAGAGGCAUGUGACCCCUACAAUACUCUGGAUUUUCCUCCAGUGGUUUUUGAGGACUUUAGUUCUGUGGCAGAUGAGAACUAUGUUCCUAUGGAGGAAGGUGACUAUGAACUUCAAGAUUCAGGGGGUUCUGUUUUAGAAGUAGCCAAUGACUAGUUAAAGAUCCAGAUGAACAAAGGGAACACGCAUCCUGUUGUUGACAAAGAUUGAAAUAAAAUUCCCAGAGGACAAGUCUGAAGGACUAAC